RNAcentral lists this non-coding RNA (26 nucleotides) under Homo sapiens (human). Lineage: Eukaryota; Metazoa; Chordata; Mammalia; Primates; Hominidae. The record is from RNAcentral.
UCAGGGCUUGUGGCCAGAUGUGCAGC